Molecule: ribosomal RNA, 808 nt
Filed under: uncultured archaeon
Lineage: Archaea
Description: bacterial SSU rRNA
Rfam family: Archaeal small subunit ribosomal RNA
Source: RNAcentral
ACUGCUCAGUAACACGUGGCUAACCUGCCCUUGGGACGAGAACAACCCCGGGAAACUAGGGCUAACUCUCGAUAGGCGAAGAACUCUGGAAUGAGUUUUCACCCAAACAGUUUAAGGUUAUGCUCUUUAAACCGCCCAAGGAUGGGCCGCGACCGAUCAGGUUGUUGGUGAGGUAAUGGCUCACCAAGCCUUUUACCGGUGCGGGCCGUGGGAGCGGGAGCCCGGAGAUGGGCACUGAGACAAGGGCCCAGGCCCUACGGAGCGCAGCAGUCGCGAAAACUUUGCAAUAAGCGAAAGCUUGACAGGGCUAUCCCGAGUGCCAUCCGCUGAGGAAGGCUUUUACCCAGUCUAGAACGCUGGGGGAAUAAGGAGAGGGCAAGUCUGGUGUCAGCCGCCGCGGUAAUACCAGCUCUCCGAGUGGUGUGGAUGUUUAUUGGGCCUAAAGCAUCCGUAGCUGGCUAAGUUAGUCCCCUGUUAAAUCCACCGAAUUAAUCGUUGGAUUGCGGGGGAUACUGCUUGGCUAGGGGACGAGAGAGGCAGACGGUAUUUCCGGGGUAGGGGUGAAAUCCUAUAAUCCCGGGAAGACCACCAGUGGCGAAGGCUGUCUGCUAGAACGCGCCCGACGGUGAGGGAUGAAAGCUGGGGGAGCGAACCGGAUUAGAUACCCGGGUAGUCCCAGCUGUAAACGAUGCAGACUAGGUGUUUGAACGGCCACGUGCCGUUCUAGUGCCGCAGGGAAGCUGUUAAGUCUGCCGCCUGGGGAGUACGAUCGCAAGAUUGAAACUUAAAGGAAUUGGCGGGGGAGCAC